CCUACGGGGGGCAGCAGUGGGGAAUAUUGCGCAAUGGGCGAAAGCCUGACGCAGCGACGCCGCGUGAGGGAUGACGGCCUUCGGGUUGUAAACCUCUUUCAGCUCUGACGAAGCGCAAGUGACGGUAGGAGCAGAAGAAGCACCGGCCAACUACGUGCCAGCAGCCGCGGUAAUACGUAGGGUGCAAGCGUUGUCCGGAAUUAUUGGGCGUAAAGAGCUCGUAGGCGGUCUGUCGCGUCGAAUGUGAAAACACGAGGCUCAACUUCGUGCCUGCAUUCGAUACGGGCAGACUAGAGUUCGGUAGGGGAGUCUGGAAUUCCUGGUGUAGCGGUGAAAUGCGCAGAUAUCAGGAGGAACACCGGUGGCGAAGGCGGGACUCUGGGCCGAUACUGACGCUGAGGAGCGAAAGCGUGGGGAGCAAACAGGAUUAG
This 431-nucleotide ribosomal RNA is filed under the name uncultured bacterium. RNAcentral's name for it is "bacterial SSU rRNA". It matches the Rfam family "Bacterial small subunit ribosomal RNA", at positions 338 to 781 of the family's 1533-position model. The record is from RNAcentral.